RNAcentral lists this ribosomal RNA (461 nucleotides) under uncultured bacterium. Its description in RNAcentral is "partial 16S ribosomal RNA". It matches the Rfam family "Bacterial small subunit ribosomal RNA", at positions 28 to 507 of the family's 1533-position model. The record is from RNAcentral.
GAUGAACGCUGACAGAAUGCUUAACACAUGCAAGUCUUUGGCGAAGCUGUGCUUGCACAGCCUAGCCAAGGCGGACGGGUGAGUAACGCGUAAGGAACUUGCCCUGCAGUCAGGGAUAACAGACGGAAACGACUGAUAAGACCUGGUAAAGUCAGGCGGACUCAUGUCCAGCCUGAUGAAAAGAGAUGCUGCAGGGGAGCCUUGCGUCCUAUUAGCUUGUUGGUGGGGUAACGGCCAACCAAGGCGAUGAUAGGUAGCCGGCCUGAGAGGGGGGAGGGCAAAAGGGGACGGGAGUUCGGACCCUAAUCCCAACGGAAGCAGGCGUGGGGAAUAAUGGGCAAAGGGGGCAACCCUGAUCCAGCAAUUCUGUGGGCACGAUAAAGGUUUUCGGAUUGUAAAGUGCUUUCAGCAGGGAAGAAAAAAUGACGGUACCUGCAGAAGAAGCGACGGCUAAAUACGUG